Molecule: ribosomal RNA, 497 nt
Filed under: uncultured bacterium
Lineage: Bacteria
Description: partial 16S ribosomal RNA
Rfam family: Bacterial small subunit ribosomal RNA
Source: RNAcentral
GACGAACGCUGGCGGCGUGCCUAAUACAUGCAAGUCGAACGCUGAAGAGAGGAGCUUACUCUUCUUGGAUGAGUUGCGAACGGGUGAGUAACGCGUAGGUAACCUGCCUUGUAGCGGGGGAUAACUAUUGGAAACGAUAGCUAAUACCGCAUAACAAUGGAUGACACAUGUCAUUUAUUUGAAAGGGGCAAUUGCUCCACUACAAGAUGGACCUGCGUUGUAUUAGCUAGUAGGUGAGGUAAUGGCUCACCUAGGCGACGAUACAUAGCCGACCUGAGAGGGUGAUCGGCCACACUGGGGCUGAGACACGGCCCAGACUCCUACGGGAGGCAGCAGUAGGGAAUCUUCGGCAAUGGGGGCAACCCUGACCGAGCAACGCCGCGUGAGUGAAGAAGGUUUUCGGAUCGUAAAGCUCUGUUGUAAGUCAAGAACGGGUGUGAGAGUGGAAAGUUCACACUGUGACGGUAGCUUACCAGAAAGGGACGGCUAACUACGUG